This 465-nucleotide ribosomal RNA is filed under the name uncultured bacterium. RNAcentral's name for it is "partial 16S ribosomal RNA". It matches the Rfam family "Bacterial small subunit ribosomal RNA", at positions 28 to 507 of the family's 1533-position model. The record is from RNAcentral.
GACGAACGUUGGCGGCGUGCUUAACACAUGCAAGUCGAACGGAAAGGCCCCUUUGGGGGUACUCGAGUGGCGAACGGGUGAGUAACACGUGAGUAACCUGCCCUUGACUUCGGGAUAACUUCAGGAAACUGGGGCUAAUACCGGAUAGGAAUCCUUGCUGCAUGGUGGGGGUUGGAAAGCUUCGGCGGUUUUGGAUGGACUCGCGCCUUAUCAGCUUGUUGGUGGGGUAGUGGCUUACCAAGGCUUUGACGGGUAGCCGGCCUGAGAGGGCGACCGGCCACAGUGGGACUGAGAUACGGCCCAGACUCCUACGGGAGGCAGCAGUGGGGAAUAUUGCACAAUGGGCGGAAGCCGGAUGCAGCAACGCCGCGGGCGGGAUGACGGCCUUCGGGUUGUAAACCGCUUUCAGCAGGGGCGAAGCUUGUGGUGACGGUACCUGCAGAAGAAGCACCGGCUAACUACGUG